This 440-nucleotide ribosomal RNA is filed under the name uncultured bacterium. Its description in RNAcentral is "bacterial SSU rRNA". It matches the Rfam family "Bacterial small subunit ribosomal RNA", at positions 30 to 470 of the family's 1533-position model. The record is from RNAcentral.
AUUGAACGCUGGCGGCAUGCCUUACACAUGCAAGUCGAACGGCAGCGGACCUUCGGGUGCCGGCGAGUGGCGAACGGGUGAGUAAUAUAUCGGAACGUACCUUUCAGUGGGGGAUAACGUAGCGAAAGUUACGCUAAUACCGCAUAUUCUGUGAGCAGGAAAGCAGGGGAUCGCAAGACCUUGCGCUGAUUGAGCGGCCGAUAUCAGAUUAGCUAGUUGGUGAGGUAAAGGCUCACCAAGGCGACGAUCUGUAGCGGGUCUGAGAGGAUGAUCCGCCACACUGGAACUGAGACACGGUCCAGACUCCUACGGGAGGCAGCAGUGGGGAAUUUUGGACAAUGGGCGCAAGCCUGAUCCAGCCAUGCCGCGUGAGUGAAGAAGGCCUUCGGUGUAAGACUCUUCGUCCGGGAAGAAGUCGCACAGGUUAAUACCUCGUGUGG